GACGAACGCUGGCGGCGUGCUUAACACAUGCAAGUCGAACGGAAAGGCUUUGCUUUUGUGGUGUGCUCGAGUGGCGAAAGGGUGAGUAACACGCGAGUAACCCGCCCUCUACUUUGGGAUAACUUCAGGAAACUGGGGCUAAUACCGUAUAUGCGCUCCUGCUGCAUGGUGUGGUUUGUAAAGUUUCGUCGGUUGGGGAUGGAUUCGCGGCCUAUCAGCUGGUUGGUGGGGGAGUGGCUUACCAAGGCGUUGACGGGUAGCCGGCCUGAGAGGGUGACCGGCCACACGGGGACUGAGACACGGCCCGGACGCCUACGGGAGGCAGCAGUGGGGAAGAGUGAACAAUGGGCGGAAGCCUGAUGCAGCGACGCCGCGUGAGGGAGGACGGCCUUCGGGUUGUAAACAUCUUACAGCAAGGAAGAAGCGAAAGUGACGGUACGUGCAGAAGAAGCGCCGGCUAACUACGUG
RNAcentral lists this ribosomal RNA (468 nucleotides) under uncultured bacterium. RNAcentral describes it as "partial 16S ribosomal RNA". It matches the Rfam family "Bacterial small subunit ribosomal RNA", at positions 28 to 507 of the family's 1533-position model. The record is from RNAcentral.